Clostridium sp. CAG:7 is the source of this 72-nucleotide non-coding RNA. NCBI's taxonomy places the organism in Bacteria, Bacillati, Bacillota, Clostridia, Eubacteriales, Clostridiaceae. The record is from Rfam.
GCUGAUGCUUUAUAUAGAUCUUACAGGUUCCGGAACCUGGACGGCAGGGCUUUUUGCCCUGCCUGGUACAUA